Molecule: ribosomal RNA, 258 nt
Filed under: uncultured bacterium
Lineage: Bacteria
Description: partial 16S ribosomal RNA
Rfam family: Bacterial small subunit ribosomal RNA
Source: RNAcentral
GUGUACCUACGGGAGGCAGCAGUGAGGAAUAUUGGUCAAUGGGCGGGAGCCUGAACCAGCCAAGCCGCGUGAGGGAAGAAGGGACAGCGUAUCGUAAACCUCUUUUGUCAGGGAACAAAGGCGGGGACUAGUCCCCGGAUGAGGGUACCUGAAGAAAAAGCAUCGGCUAACUCCGUGCCAGCAGCCGCGGUAAUACGGAGGAUGCGAGCGUUAUCCGGAUUUAUUGGGUUUAAAGGGGGCGCAGGCGGCCUGUUAAGU